CGGCCUAUGACUGAUUGAGCCCGGACCAGACAGAUCCAUCGACACAAAACUCCAUCAACGAUCCAUGUCACCAUGAUACCACACAACCAGCAACAUCACAGGGCGUGCGUGGUCACCGUGUAUGUCUCUAACGACAUGCGCCGUGUUACUGGGAACCUAUUCUUCUCUGGAAUCCCGUGGGUCUGCCCUCGAAUGUAUAUAAGGGAUUACAUGGCAGAUAAUCCUCACUACGGCUGCAUUACCUCCACACCCAGGGGACAGUGUGCACGACACACGACGAUUAUAGAUUGUACGGCGGUCCGACUUUUUCCAUAGUGAUCGUACCGAACAAUAGCGAAUAACACCCACUAAGGUGUUUAAACGUUGUUGCUCUGAUGAUAUUCACGAGUAAAACAACCAUACUCACCAGUCUCGUCUUUAUGGACGUGCAGUACCUUCGUCCGAGCACAACCAUACAACGAACAGAGAUGAUCCGAAUGUUACGUCUGGCUGUCUGGUCAUGUGUCGCUAAACACCAUGGGUACGCCGCGAUACAGACUCUGCAUGAUGGCAAGUCUAAUUUCUUCAACAGUUUUGUCCCCAUCAUUGUCCAAAUUCAACUGUAAUUGGUUCACGUGAUCUUUAUAAAACACCACGUAAACAUCAUGUGAGAGAAAUAAAUUUCAAGAGCCCGAGAAGAUUUACGUGUGCUUCUGAUGAGGACAGUAGAAGUCUUCACGCUGUACAGGAGUCCAUGACACAGCACAGCGGAGUAUUGGAUUGCCACGGAGCCGAUUUGAUUCAAUACAGUCAAUACAUGCAGGUGUACAACUUGCAAUCCAAUGUCCGCGUGAACCGGCCUCCUCGCCUCACCUGCAGUAACACCAGGAGAAAUCCCUUCCUUAAUAUGACGCUUAUCGAGGAAUGGUUUCCAUACAUCGAGUGAAUAAGAGUUCAUGUUCAUUGGGUCAACAAAUUAAUUCGAACAGUAUUUAGCUGUAAGACAUUGGUUCAGUGGUACCGAAGUGGUACAUGAUGUUGACCGAUCGAAACUCAUAAUCGAGGCGUAUCUGGUACUUGAACCCACGACCAUCAGAUCUUGACACGACCAAGGGAAGUGUUUAAUCGAGAUACUUGUGCCGGAACAUACAUGGGGUAUGUUGCUAUUCCCGACAUCGAGCUCCGGGCUUACGCGGUGUUCAUACGGUUUGUAAAUAAAAGAAAUCUCUUUUAGAACACUACUUAACAACCAUUACUAUACUGGAAUAAAGUAACUGUGCAUUA
This is a long non-coding RNA of Haliotis rubra (blacklip abalone), 1263 nucleotides long. RefSeq lists it as uncharacterized. Lineage: Eukaryota; Metazoa; Mollusca; Gastropoda; Lepetellida; Haliotidae. The record is from RefSeq and is a predicted model, not a curated record. The transcript has 2 exons.